GUACUGGCAUUGUUGGUUUCUCCCUUCUGACAACCAUGAUGUCUUUAUUUGGUGUUGUGGGGAAUCAAGACUGUUACUUUGAAAAAAUUAUAGUGUUUAAAGCAGGCUCACGCUUGAAUACAUUAGCAUGGAAUAAUGAAAUAGGACGUUUGAUUCUAUUUUGUUGGUUUCUAGGAUCGACCUAAUGAUUAAUAGGGAUAGUUGGGGGCAUUAGUAUUCAAUUGUCAGAGGUGAAAUUCUUGGAUUUAUUGAAGACUAACUACUGCGAAAGCAUUUGCCAAGGAUGUUUUCAUUAAUCAAGAACGAAAGUUAGGGGAUCGAAGACGAUCAGAUACCGUCGUAGUCUUAACCAUAAACUAUGCCGACUAGGGAUCGGAUGAUGUUAAUUUUUUAAUGACUCACUCGGCGCCUUAC
This 414-nucleotide ribosomal RNA is filed under the name uncultured Glomeromycotina. RNAcentral's name for it is "SSU rRNA". It matches the Rfam family "Eukaryotic small subunit ribosomal RNA", at positions 676 to 1091 of the family's 1831-position model. The record is from RNAcentral. Lineage: Eukaryota; Fungi; Glomeromycota.